UACGGAGGGUGCGAGCGUUGUCCGGAAUCAUUGGGCGUAAAGGGCGCGUAGGUGGCCCGGUCAGUUCGUGGUGAAAGCGCGGGGCUCAACCCUGCGUCGGCCAUGAAUACUGCCGCGGCUGGAGCACUGUAGAGGCAGGCGGAAUUCCGGGUGUAGCGGUGGAAUGCGUAGAGAUCCGGAAGAACACCGGUGGCGAAGGCGGCCUGCUGGGGCAGUUGCUGGACACUGAGGCGCGACAGCGUGGGGAGCAAACAGGG
This 257-nucleotide ribosomal RNA is filed under the name uncultured bacterium. RNAcentral describes it as "partial 16S ribosomal RNA". It matches the Rfam family "Bacterial small subunit ribosomal RNA", at positions 524 to 777 of the family's 1533-position model. The record is from RNAcentral.